RNAcentral lists this ribosomal RNA (524 nucleotides) under uncultured bacterium. Its description in RNAcentral is "partial 16S ribosomal RNA". It matches the Rfam family "Bacterial small subunit ribosomal RNA", at positions 28 to 523 of the family's 1533-position model. The record is from RNAcentral.
GACGAACGCUGGCGGCGUGCCUAAUACAUGCAAGUCGAGCGCAGGAAACUGACGGAACUCUUCAGAGGGAAGGUAGCGGAAUGAGCGGCGGACGGGUGAGUAACACGUAAGGAACCUGCCUCAAGGAUUGGGAUAACUCCGAGAAAUCGGAGCUAAUACCGGAUAGUUCAUCGGACCGCAUGGUCCGUUGAUGAAAGGCGCUCCGGCGUCACCUUGAGAUGGCCUUGCGGUGCAUUAGCUAGUUGGUGGGGUAACGGCCCACCAAGGCGACGAUGCAUAGCCGACCUGAGAGGGUGAUCGGCCACACUGGGACUGAGACACGGCCCAGACUCCUACGGGAGGCAGCAGUAGGGAAUCUUCCACAAUGGACGAAAGUCUGAUGGAGCAACGCCGCGUGAGUGAUGAAGGUUUUCGGAUCGUAAAACUCUGUUGUAAGGGAAGAACACGUACGAGAGGGAAUGCUCGUACCUUGACGGUACCUUACGAGAGAGCCACGGCUAACUACGUGCCAGCCGCCGCGGUAA